Molecule: ribosomal RNA, 1343 nt
Filed under: uncultured Eubacterium sp.
Lineage: Bacteria; Bacillati; Bacillota; Clostridia; Eubacteriales; Eubacteriaceae
Description: 16S ribosomal RNA
Rfam family: Bacterial small subunit ribosomal RNA
Source: RNAcentral
AGUCGAGCGGAGAAUUCCUUCGGGGAUUUUUAGCGGCGGACGGGUGAGUAACACGUGGGUAACCUGCCUAUCACAGGGGAAUAACAAUGAGAAAUCAUUGCUAAAACCUCAUAAGCUCCCAAUCGCAUGAUCAGUGAGAAAAUAUUUAUAGGUGAAAGAGGGGCCCGCGUCUGAUUAGCUAGUUGGUAGGGUAAUGGCCUACCAAGGCAACGAUCAGUAGCCGACCUGAGAGGGUGAUCGGCCACAUUGGGACUGAGACACGGCCCAAACUCCUACGGGAGGCAGCAGUGGGGAACAUUGCACAAUGGGGGAAACCCUGAUGCAGCAACGCCGCGUGAAGGAUGAAGGAUUUCGGCUCGUAAACUUCUUUAGGCAGGGAAGAAAAAAAUGACGGUACCUGCAGAAUAAGCACCGGCUAAAUACGUGCCAGCAGCCGCGGUAAUACGUAUGGUGCAAGCGUUAUCCGGAAUUACUGGGUGUAAAGGGUGAGUAGGCGGUUAGAUAAGUCAUAUGUGAAAGCCCCGGGCUCAACCUGGGGAUUGCAUAAGAAACUGUCUGACUAGAGUACAGGAGAGGUAAGCGGAAUUCCUAGCGUAGCGGUGAAAUGCGUAGAUAUUAGGAAGAACACCAGUGGCGAAGGCGGCUUACUGGACUGAACUGACGCUGAGUCACAANNNNNNNNNNNUCGAGAGAUUCGGUGCCGCAGCUAACGCAAUAAGCACUCCACCUGGGGAGUACGAUCGCAAGAUUGAAACUCAAAGGAAUUGACGGGGGCCCGCACAAGCGGUGGAGCAUGUGGUUUAAUUCGAAGCAACGCGAAGAACCUUACCAAGGCUUGACAUCCCUUUACCGGUGUAGAGAUACACCUUCCCUUCGGGGAAAGGUGACAGGUGGUGCAUGAUUGUCGUCAGCUCGUGUCGUGAGAUGUUGGGUUAAGUCCCGCAACGAGCGCAACCCUUAUCUUUAGUAGCCAGUGGGUAAUGCCAGGCACACUAGAGAGACUGCCGUGGAUAACACGGAGGAAGGUGGGGAUGACGUCAAAUCAUCAUGCCCCUUAUGUCUUGGGCAACACACGUGCUACAAUGGGCGAUACAAAGUGAAGCAAAGCCGCGAGGUGGAGCAAAGCACAAAAAAACGCCCUCAGUUCGGAUUGUAGUCUGCAACCCGACUACAUGAAGUUGGGAUCGCUAGUAAUCGCGAAUCAGCAUGUCGCGGUGAAUACGUUCCCGGGCCUUGUACACACCGCCCGUCACACCAUGGGAGUUGGAAGCGCCCGAAGUCUGUGACCUAACCGUAAGGAAGGAGCAGCCGAAGGUGAUAUCAGCGACUAGGGUGAAGUCGUA